This 782-nucleotide ribosomal RNA is filed under the name uncultured bacterium. Its description in RNAcentral is "bacterial SSU rRNA". It matches the Rfam family "Bacterial small subunit ribosomal RNA", at positions 28 to 807 of the family's 1533-position model. The record is from RNAcentral.
GACGAACGCUGGCGGCGUGCCUAACACAUGCAAGUCGAACGGAACUGUUUUGAAAGAUUUCUUCGGAAUGAAUUUGAUUUAGUUUAGUGGCGGACGGGUGAGUAACGCGUGAGUAACCUGCCUUCAAGAGGGGGAUAACAUUCUGAAAAGAAUGCUAAUACCGCAUGACAUAUCGGAACCACAUGGUUUUGAUAUCAAAGAUUUUAUCGCUUGAAGAUGGACUCGCGUCCGAUUAGUUAGUUGGUGAGGUAACGGCUCACCAAGACCGCGAUCGGUAGCCGGACUGAGAGGUUGAACGGCCACAUUGGGACUGAGACACGGCCCAGACUCCUACGGGAGGCAGCAGUGGGGGAUAUUGCGCAAUGGGGGCAACCCUGACGCAGCAACGCCGCGUGAAGGAUGAAGGUUUUCGGAUUGUAAACUUCUUUUAUUAAGGACGAAAAAUGACGGUACUUAAUGAAUAAGCUCCGGCUAACUACGUGCCAGCAGCCGCGGUAAUACGUAGGGAGCAAGCGUUGUCCGGAUUUACUGGGUGUAAAGGGUGCGUAGGCGGCUUUGCAAGUCAGAUGUGAAAUCUAUGGGCUCAACCCAUAAACUGCAUUUGAAACUGUAGAGCUUGAGUGAAGUAGAGGCAGGCGGAAUUCCCCGUGUAGCGGUGAAAUGCGUAGAGAUGGGGAGGAACACCAGUGGCGAAGGCGGCCUGCUGGGCUUUAACUGACGCUGAGGCACGAAAGCGUGGGUAGCAAACAGGAUUAGAUACCCUGGUAGUCCACGCUGUAAAC